This is a long non-coding RNA of Dermochelys coriacea (leatherback sea turtle), 2383 nucleotides long. RefSeq lists it as uncharacterized. The transcript has 3 exons. The record is from RefSeq and is a predicted model, not a curated record. Lineage: Eukaryota; Metazoa; Chordata; Testudines; Dermochelyidae.
GUGGUGGAAACCAAAGUCCACAAUUACUGGCACACGGGACCGGCUCUAGGCACCAGCAAAGCAAGCACGUGCUUGGGGUGGCAUUCCGCCCAUCCUUUAUUUUUUGCUUGGCCAGUUGUGCUCUCGGAACUUGGGGCUGCAAAUUUGUUGCUUGGGGUGGCAAAAAACCUGGAGCCGGCCCUGCUGGCCCAAGGAUUCCUAGAUCCUGGAUCCACUUAAGAAAUUAGUGCUGUUCGGAGUUCAAUACACAAUUCCCAGACCCACUGUGGCAAGAAACAUUUGCAAUCCAAUACUUACACAGCUCUUCAAGUCCUCUCUGAUUUGCCUGAGGAUUUCUAAUGGCCUCAUCAGCUGCUCGGAUAGACUAGGAUCCCCAAAGUUCUCCAGCACAUCGAUAACGAGGUGCAGCUCCGCCUCUACCAGGGUCACUCUGUCAUGCAGCUAGGGAGAGAAUGUGCAGGUAAAACAGCGUGUCCAGGGGAGUUGCAGACACGGAGAUAAGGAAUGUCUGUGUUAGCAGCAGGUAGGAGUGGCCUGCUUAAGGAGACUUUCCAAAGCCGUGGCCACUAGGAAGAGACCUAAGACGCAGGGGAGGCGUGAAUCCACUCUGUACACAGAGCUUGCUAAUCACGAACCUUUGGACUCUGUUGCUUACACCUUCCUUCCUUGGAAUCCAACAACAUUUCGUGCUUCAGAUCAAUCUCAAACCUUUUUUACGUUACUACAAUCUGAAGACAUAGUUGGGCAGUGCAAGUAUUUUUUUAUUUUUAUUUUUGCUGGUGAUUUGGGGAACGGUUUCUGGAUCUUCAAAGUGGCGGUGCAUAGAUGUGGAUAUGCUUUUAGAGAACUAAAAUAUUCUCUCAUGGAAAACCAAAAUACAGAAACUAAGGAUUUCCUGCCAUAUGACCUGGAGCUGCGUAUGUGAGGGAGAUUAACCAAUUCAGUCUGGAAAUAGAUGGUAAAGACAGGUGUGGAUGAGUUGGUGGUGACAAAGCCUUUGGUUUGUUGAGCACUGAGGUUAAGGUCCCCACCUCUAACUUGCCCUGAUGUCAUCCAGGCCUGGCUCAGACAUCUGAGGACAGGAAGAGGAGCUUCUGCAACCUGUGACAAGACUCUCUCCUUCCCGGGGGCACCCGUGUGUGUGUGUGUGUAGCUGUCCUGAGCCAGUCCAGUUUGAAUACGAUCAUGGCAGCCAAGCCUGACGGGUUUCACCCCACCGGACUGCAUCCUUCCGUUCUUCCUCCCUGUGGCAUGACAGGCUGCAAACACACUCAUGCCGGAGUCUGGAGACUCACUAAUCCACACAUCGUACAACUCACAACAACCGACCUUCUCUCCCCACUGCUCCACAAAGAAUUCACCGCGGAAGGCUGGCGCAAGCUCACAUCCCACACUCACUAGCUACACAGCUGUGCAUUUACUUGUAACUUGUGAAGCAUUAUAAAUAAUUCAAACUAAAUGCCAGUGGUGGAAAUAAAUUAGCCAAGUCCAUUACGUGAUGCACUAACCUGGCUUGUUAAAACUGGGUUUAUUCAUUUACAGUGAGAUUCACCCCUGCACAGAAGAGUAGCAUGUGGCCUGCAUAUCACUUAUAUCCCACUAAAGGCUAGUUUCAAGGUCAUAAAAGGUGCAUAAGCCUUGAGCUGUCUGUCUGUACAGGGCUGAAUUUCACCCUUAAUGAUCUGAAGUAGUUCUCUCUGCUCAGCCAAAUUAUGUUCGUGUAAUAUUGGCACAAAUCGUAUUAGCAACAGAAUUCUCUUUGAGAUGUUAGUUUUGUACCCCUGGUAUGUUGUCUGGAGACAAUUGGUGGUUAUCUCCCCGCCUAAAGAGUUGUUUACACCGAAACUCGGGAAAACUAAUACAAAUUAGCUCAAGGUGUGAAUUUAAAGUGGAUUAAUUAAAUUACAUUAAAACACUGUAUGGAUGCUCUCAUUAAGUGGCUUUAGUUUUGUUUAAUUUAAUUCAUUCCCAAAAUGCAGAUUUAAUGCAGUUUUGCUAAUCCACUUCAAAAAUUAAUUCCAAUUAAUUUUCCUGAGAGUUUUCACAUGUAGAUAAGACCUAAUGGUCAAAUCCAUCAUCCUUCUGGGCUAUUAUUAAUAAAAGCAAUUUGGAUUUCAAUUGUCAAUACCUCUGUGCCAUGUUCAUAUUGCACCAGACUGUGAUUUUAAUGUGAGUGCACCUUUCCAGGGAAGAUGGGUUGGGGUUGAUAACACAAGUUCUUUCCCUUGGCCUUGUCUUUUAACCUCGUUUGCUUUUAUGGACUUUUUACCUCAAGAUGUUCAGGGAUAAGGGACUAUGCAAAAGCAGGCUAUGAAUGAUUUAGUAACUGUUUCAGAGUCCUGUGCACUCAAUCCUCAGGGAGGGAUCUGCUAAAACACACACA